GUGAGGGAUCCAGUGUACAGUGGUGUUCCUGGCGAGGCAGGCCCCUCUGGGCAAACCACCAUGGAAGAGCUUUUCGGCAGCAGCGACUCUGACGAUGACCAGCCACGCGGCGUUGCCUCUGCAACAGCCUCUUCAGGCGCAGGUAACGGUUGACGCAGAAAUCCUGCUUUGCUCCCUUCGUGUGGAUGGAGACUGGAGGCGCAGCGCUGGUGCAAUCCAUGACAUGCAUGUCCAAUGAAUUUGGCAAAGGUGGCUUAAAGUCAGAGCAGCUCACUUUGUUCCUUGAAAGCGCUGGGCUUGGGAUGUCAAAGGCAGCUGCCAGCAGAGCCUGAUACAUUAUGAAGCAGAAGGCUCAUUAUGUAUAUCAGAUCAUGUCGAACGAGAAUUUUUACGGGUCUAUGCAAGACUUCUACUUAUUCACAGGGUUCGUGAUUGCGCAGGACCUAGCGGUAGGAGAACUGAUCCAGCGAGAAGCGGCAGCAAUGGGUCUGGGGCAAAAUCAUUACAACGAGCAGGGUCUAGACGGCGGGAGGGGACUUUGCCAGAGGCCGUCAGGAACGCCCUCGCAGCCCAGGCGC
RNAcentral lists this long non-coding RNA (578 nucleotides) under Coccomyxa subellipsoidea. Its description in RNAcentral is "long non-coding RNA (CSUB_LNC000062)". The record is from RNAcentral. Lineage: Eukaryota; Viridiplantae; Chlorophyta; Trebouxiophyceae; Coccomyxaceae.